CCUACGGGUGGCAGCAGUGGGGAAUAUUGCACAAUGGGGGAAACCCUGAUGCAGCGACGCCGCGUGAGUGAAGAAGUAAUUCGUUACGUAAAGCUCUAUCAGCAGGGAAGAAAUACUGACCUUACGGUCAGCAGACGGUACCUGAGUCAGAAGCCCCGGCUAACUACGUGCCAGCAGCCGCGGUAAUACGUAGGGGGCAAGCGUUAUCCGGAUUUACUGGGUGUAAAGGGAGCGUAGACGGUGGGCCAAGUCUGGAGUGAAAUGCCGCAGCUUAACUGCGGAACUGCUUUGGAAACUGGCGAACUAGAGUGCGGGAGGGGUAAGCGGAAUUCCUAGUGUAGCGGUGAAAUGCGUAGAUAUUAGGAGGAACACCGGUGGCGAAGGCGGCUUACUGGACCGUAACUGACGUUGAGGCUCGAAAGCGUGGGGAGCAAACAGGAUUAGAUACCCCAGUAGUC
This 458-nucleotide ribosomal RNA is filed under the name uncultured bacterium. Its description in RNAcentral is "partial 16S ribosomal RNA". It matches the Rfam family "Bacterial small subunit ribosomal RNA", at positions 338 to 795 of the family's 1533-position model. The record is from RNAcentral.